RNAcentral lists this ribosomal RNA (111 nucleotides) under Ochotona princeps (American pika). The record is from RNAcentral. Lineage: Eukaryota; Metazoa; Chordata; Mammalia; Lagomorpha; Ochotonidae.
GUCUAUGUGCACAGCACCUGAGCAUGCCCGAUCUGAUCUGAUCUUGGAAGCUAGGCAGGACCGGGCUGCUUAGUACUGGGAUGGAAAAUGGGAGAAGGAGAAAGUUGGAAG